CCUACGGGAGGCAGCAGUGGGGGAUAUUGCACAAUGGGGGAAACCCUGAUGCAGCGACGCCGCGUGUGGGAAGACGGUCCUCUGGAUUGUAAACCACUGUCCCCAGGGACGAAGAUGACGGUACCUUGGGAGGAAGCUCCGGCUAACUACGUGCCAGCAGACGCGGUAAUACGUAGGGAGCGAGCGUUGUCCGGAAUUACUGGGUGUAAAGGGAGCGUAGGCGGGGAUGCAAGUUGGGUGUCAAAACUACCGGCUCAACCGGUACGCGCACUCAAAACUGCAGCUCUUGAGUGAAGUAGAGGCAGGCGGAAUUCCUAGUGUAGCGGUGAAAUGCGUAGAUAUUACGAGGAACGCCAGUGGCGAAGGCGGCAUGCUGGGCUUUUACUGACGCUGAGGCUCGAAAGUGUGGGGAGCAAACAGGAUUAGAUACCCGAGUAGUC
This 440-nucleotide ribosomal RNA is filed under the name uncultured bacterium. RNAcentral's name for it is "partial 16S ribosomal RNA". It matches the Rfam family "Bacterial small subunit ribosomal RNA", at positions 338 to 795 of the family's 1533-position model. The record is from RNAcentral.